GACGAACGCUGGCGGCGUGCUUAACACAUGCAAGUCGAACGGAAAGGCCCUGCUUUUGUGGGGUGCUCGAGUGGCGAACGGGUGAGUAACACGUGAGUAACCUGCCCUUGACUUUGGGAUAACUUCAGGAAACUGGGGCUAAUACCGGAUAGGAGCUCCUGCUGCAUGGUGGGGGUUGGAACGUUUCGGCGGUUGGGGAUGGACUCGCGGCUUAUCAGCUUGUUGGUGGGGUAGUGGCUUACCAAGGCUUUGACGGGUAGCCGGCCUGAGAGGGUGACCGGCCACAUUGGGAAUGAGAUACGGCCCAGAGUCCUAAGGGAGGCAGCAGUGGGGAAUAUUGAACAAUGGGCGGAAGCCUGAUGCAGAAACGCCGCGGGCGGGAUGACGGCCUUCGGGUUGUAAACCGCUUUCGCCUGUGACGAAGCGUGAGUGACGGUAAUGGGUAAAGAAGCACCGGCUAACUACGUG
Molecule: ribosomal RNA, 468 nt
Filed under: uncultured bacterium
Lineage: Bacteria
Description: partial 16S ribosomal RNA
Rfam family: Bacterial small subunit ribosomal RNA
Source: RNAcentral